This 369-nucleotide long non-coding RNA is filed under the name Penaeus japonicus. Its description in RNAcentral is "uncharacterized LOC122247697". Lineage: Eukaryota; Metazoa; Arthropoda; Malacostraca; Decapoda; Penaeidae. The record is from RNAcentral.
CCAUGGGACAUGUAGGAGACUCUGUGACGCUGCCUUGCCGAGUGCAGGGCCACAACGUCACUCAGGAAUGGUACCUCAAUGACAAGGGGAUCUCUAAUGACGCCAGUUAUCAAAUCUCAGGUAACGGCGACCUGGUGGUGCGGCGGCUGAGUGCACAGGGACGCACUCGAUAUUCAUGCAGAGCAGCCAGCACUCGUUUCUCUGCCCUCAGUGACACUGUCUUCACUGUAGUGGUGACUAUGUGAUGAUCUUCGACUUACCUGACUACCAAGGACCACUUCGAGGCCGACCCAUCUGGAUUACGUCCAUUCUUUAUCAUCAAUGAUAUGCUGAUAUCUUUAUCAAACGAAGUCUUACAGCUAUGUGUAC